This 253-nucleotide ribosomal RNA is filed under the name uncultured bacterium. RNAcentral describes it as "partial 16S ribosomal RNA". It matches the Rfam family "Bacterial small subunit ribosomal RNA", at positions 524 to 776 of the family's 1533-position model. The record is from RNAcentral.
GACAGAGGUGCCAAGCGUUAGGCGGAAUCACUGGGCUUAAAGCGUGUGUAGGCGGACUGGUAAGUACCUUGUGAAAUCCCACGGCUCAACCGUGGAACUGCUCGGUAUACUGCUUGUCUUGAGCCACUUAGGGGCUGUCGGAACAAACGGUGGAGCGGUGAAAUGCGUAGAUAUCGAGAGGAACACCUGCGGCGAAGGCGGGUUGCUGGGCUGACACUGACGCUGAACUGCGAAAGCUAGGGGAGCGAACGGG